GACCCAGUGGCGAAGUGGUUUCGCGUCCGCGCAGAUUUCAUCGUUUACUGCACUUUCCGCGGGAGACACCCGUUCGAUUCGGGUCUGGGUCA
This is a non-coding RNA of Mycena latifolia, 92 nucleotides long. Lineage: Eukaryota; Fungi; Basidiomycota; Agaricomycetes; Agaricales; Mycenaceae. The record is from the annotation of a GenBank genome assembly.